This 1566-nucleotide ribosomal RNA is filed under the name Lactobacillus sp. RNAcentral's name for it is "partial 16S ribosomal RNA". The stretch from base 1 to 845 matches the Rfam family "Bacterial small subunit ribosomal RNA", at positions 44 to 873 of the family's 1533-position model. The record is from RNAcentral. Lineage: Bacteria; Bacillati; Bacillota; Bacilli; Lactobacillales; Lactobacillaceae.
GUGCCUAUACAUGCAAGUCCGAACGAACUCCUGGUAUUGAUUGGUGCUUGCAUCAUGAUUUACAUUUGAGUGAGUGGCGAACUGGUGAGUAACACGUGGGAAACCUGCCCAGAAGCGGGGGAUAACACCUGGAAACAGAUGCUAAUACCGCAUAACAACUUGGACCGCAUGGUCCGAGCUUGAAAGAUGGCUUCGGCUAUCACUUUUGGAUGGUCCCGCGGCGUAUUAGCUAGAUGGUGGGGUAACGGCUCACCAUGGCAAUGAUACGUAGCCGACCUGAGAGGGUAAUCGGCCACAUUGGGACUGAGACACGGCCCAAACUCCUACGGGAGGCAGCAGUAGGGAAUCUUCCACAAUGGACGAAAGUCUGAUGGAGCAACGCCGCGUGAGUGAAGAAGGGUUUCGGCUCGUAAAACUCUGUUGUUAAAGAAGAACAUAUCUGAGAGUAACUGUUCAGGUAUUGACGGUAUUUAACCAGAAAGCCACGGCUAACUACGUGCCAGCAGCCGCGGUAAUACGUAGGUGGCAAGCGUUGUCCGGAUUUAUUGGGCGUAAAGCGAGCGCAGGCGGUUUUUUAAGUCUGAUGUGAAAGCCUUCGGCUCAACCGAAGAAGUGCAUCGGAAACUGGGAAACUUGAUUGCAGAAGAGGACAGUGGAACUCCAUGUGUAGCGGUGAAAUGCGUAGAUAUAUGUGAAUAACACCAGUGAACGAAGGACGGCUGUCUGGCUCUGUAACUGAACGCUAAGGUCUCGAACGUAUGGCUAGGGAAACAAGAAUUAGAUAACCCUGCGUCGCCCAUACGAUGACACUUAUAAAUAUCUAAGUGAUUGGAGGGGGAGACGCCCCGCGAUUGACUGCGGGCUAACUGCAUGCAACGCAAUGACUAACCUCGUGGACGGGAAGAUACGCUCCGCCGGGGUAGCGACGAGAAAGAGUAUAUCACAUGGGACACGGGAGAAACACAGACGGGGCGGUGAGGUUUGUAGCGGCAAAAAUAACGCAGGAGACGCCGGAAACGCAGUCAAUCGAAGAUUUUGAGGGCCAUACUGAGGGGAAAAAUUAAAAAGGACGAACGAGGACCGUUGUCCGUGGUGGAAGAAUACCUGACAAAAUAAGGGGGGGGAAUUGUUUCGGCCCUUCCCAGGUACCCGAUUCCGUUUGCAUUGAAGAAAAAAAGGUGAAGGUUAUUAAGAAGACCCCGGAAAGGACUCCUGGAUUCGCAACCGCAAGGGGAUGGGAAGGGUAGGGUUACGCAACAAAGAUUAAAAAACUUUGUCAGGGGCCGGAUCCUUAGGGGGGGAAAAAACUAAACCACGCCCCGGGAUUCCGGGAAAUAAACCCUGGGGACUUGAAAAAAGGGGUUUUGGGGGAGGUGGAAACCCGCGCGCAGCGCCCAAAUUUCCCAAAACUGCUGGAAGGGGCCCCGAAAAAUAAAAAAAGACGCUCCAAGGGCCGCCGGAGUUCCCCACGGGUUGGUGUGAGAUUUUUUCGGGAAAAAAUGUGGGUUUGGGGGGAAAAAGGGGUCGCGGGGAUAAGGGCGGGAAAACCGGGCCUAUUAACCACAA